UGGGGAAUAUUGGACAAUGGGCGCAAGCCUGAUCCAGCCAUGCCGCGUGAGUGAUGAAGGCCCUAGGGUUGUAAAGCUCUUUCACCGGUGAAGAUAAUGACGGUAACCGGAGAAGAAGCCCCGGCUAACUUCGUGCCAGCAGCCGCGGUAAUACGAAGGGGGCUAGCGUUGUUCGGAUUUACUGGGCGUAAAGCGCACGUAGGCGGACUAUUAAGUCAGGGGUGAAAUCCCGGGGCUCAACCCCGGAACUGCCUUUGAUACUGGUAGUCUUGAGUUCGAGAGAGGUGAGUGGAAUUCCGAGUGUAGAGGUGAAAUUCGUAGAUAUUCGGAGGAACACCAGUGGCGAAGGCGGCUCACUGGCUCGAUACUGACGCUGAGGUGCGAGAGCGUGGGGAGCAAACAGG
This 404-nucleotide ribosomal RNA is filed under the name Actinomycetes bacterium. RNAcentral's name for it is "Actinobacteria bacterium partial 16S ribosomal RNA". It matches the Rfam family "Bacterial small subunit ribosomal RNA", at positions 355 to 776 of the family's 1533-position model. The record is from RNAcentral. Lineage: Bacteria; Bacillati; Actinomycetota; Actinomycetes.